UAUAUAUAUUCAGAUAUUAAUCAGCACCAAUUUCAAUACCAUGCAAUUUUCUCUAAUUUAUUUUAUUUAUUUUUAUUUUAUUUCAUAUAUUUCCAAUCAUCGAUUUAUGUUUCUUUUGUCAUUUAUUUCUGUCCCUAUUUAAUAUAUUUACUGGAGGUUGAAGAGGAAGGUGCAUGGAUGGAAAGGGUGGAAAUGUAGAUGGAGGAAGAUGUCCAACCUCGGCUGAAGAGCCUCCUCCACCUUUCUGUUGCGGUAACGCAUCUGGCAGGAAAAGCCCUGUGUACAUCUUCUCCUCCUUCCUUUUCCCACCUUCUCAUGCUGCUCUUUGUUUUUCAUCUCCUUCUCGGACACUUCUUAUUUUCUCCGACUUGUCCUGUUGAUCCUCCAUCUGUUUGCCAAAGAAGCCGGUCCUGCUCUUCUCCUUCUUCUUCUUCAUUUUUAAAUCCUCCAGGACCGUCUUCGCGUCCGGCACCUGUUUGAAUCCGGCCGGGCCUCCUCACUCUGGAGGAAUUAAUUUGCUGCUCAGCUUGUGUGUGGUGUGAGCUCCUCGCAGACUUCCCUUUGCCUUGAUGAGAUCCAGGAUGGAAGUGUCCCUAGCGGUGUCCUUUUGAUGGAUCUGUUCGUCCAACUGAUUCACCUUCCAUGGCACUCUGCUCUCACUCUGGCUGUGGACUGCUUGCACGUCUUCUGCAGGGACUGUUUCUUAAAUUUCUCCACGUUGCCUGGCUGCAUUUUCUAAAUGUAGAAGGCAACGUUAGCACCAAGAACCAUUUUCCCAGCAUGCACUUUUCAUCAUGGCUUUUGUGGAUGCCUCUCUUAAAAACUGAAUUAACUGAAUUUAAAGCUGCAGGGCAUGGACAAUUCAGUUCUAAACUUACGUUCUUUAUUUUGAGCUAAACACUCAUACUUUUAACCCCAUCUCUUGUAAUUGAAAUUAGAAGAUUUAUUAGUAUUUAUUUUUUUCUAAUUAGUCCAAUUAAAUAUGAAAACUUAUAUAGCCUAAAUAUUGUUCAGCUAUUAUUUAAUUGAACUUUCUUAGUUUGAUUUGUCAGUUGUUGACUACAUGCAGAGGUUCAUAUAACUGCUACUUCAAUAAUUAUAGCAUUAAAUCACAGCCAUGACAAUACUUUGAUGUUCCAGACCUUGACGUUAUCUUGUUAAAUUCUAAUUAAAUACCGCAAAGUUCGAAGUUUA
Molecule: long non-coding RNA, 1194 nt
Organism: Gasterosteus aculeatus aculeatus (three-spined stickleback)
Lineage: Eukaryota; Metazoa; Chordata; Actinopteri; Perciformes; Gasterosteidae
Source: RefSeq, a predicted model, not a curated record